UGCAGCCGGGGAACUAGCGGCUCCUUGUACCUGAAAUCCGCUAUAGCAGGGGUGAUGCACUGUUAAGGGUAUUUAUCAUAUACAGCUGCCCUUCGUAAGCGGCGUUGAUAUCCGGGUCUUGCGCGGCGGGAAUCCGCGAACCGUGUCAGGUCAGGAAUGGAGCAGCACUAAACGGAAUCUUCCGGGUGCCGCAAGGUAGCCUGGGUUGAGCAGGCUGCGAAGGUAACGUGUAUGUGGUGAUAUUCGAGGCAGUGCGCACG
This 260-nucleotide signal recognition particle RNA is filed under the name bovine gut metagenome. RNAcentral's name for it is "Bacterial large signal recognition particle RNA". It matches the Rfam family "Bacterial large signal recognition particle RNA". Rfam says of the family: The signal recognition particle (SRP) is a universally conserved ribonucleoprotein involved in the co-translational targeting of proteins to membranes. Archaeal SRP consists of a 7S RNA and homologues of the eukaryotic SRP19 and SRP54 proteins. The record is from RNAcentral.